RNAcentral lists this ribosomal RNA (671 nucleotides) under uncultured fungus. RNAcentral describes it as "eukaryotic LSU rRNA". It matches the Rfam family "Eukaryotic large subunit ribosomal RNA", at positions 24 to 664 of the family's 3401-position model. The record is from RNAcentral. Lineage: Eukaryota; Fungi.
CCCGCUGAACUUAAGCAUAUCAAUAAGCGGAGGAUAAGAAACUAACAAGGAUUCCCCUAGUAACUGCGAGUGAAGCGGGAAAAGCUCAAAUUUAAAAUCUGGUGGUCUUUGGCCAUCCGAGUUGUAAUUUAGAGAAGCGUCUUCCGCGCUGGACCGUGCACAAGUCUCCUGGAAUGGAGCGUCAUAGAGGGUGAGAAUCCCGUCUUUGGCAUGGAAUCCCAGGGCUUCUGUGAUGCGCUCUCGACGAGUCGAGUUGUUUGGGAAUGCAGCUCAAAAUGGGUGGUGAACUCCAUCUAAAGCUAAAUAUUGGCGAGAGACCGAUAGCGAACAAGUACCGUGAGGGAUAGAUGAAAAGCACUUUGGAAAGAGAGUGAAAACAGUACGUGAAAUUGUUGAAAGGGAAACGCUUGAAGUCAGUCGCGUCGACCGAGACUCAGCCUUGCCUUGGCUUGGUGUACUUCUCGGCUGACGGGUCAGCAUCGAUUUCAAUCCUCGGAUAAUGGCAAGGGAAAGGUAGCACCUUUUUAGGUGUGUUAUAGUCCUCUGUCGCAUGCGAGGGUCGGGAUCGAGGAACUCAGCGCGCACCUCAGGGUGUCGGGGCCGCUUGGGCCCACGUUUACGUGCUUAGGAUGCUGGCGUAAUGGCUUUAAACGACCCGUCUUGAAACACGG